This 262-nucleotide ribosomal RNA is filed under the name uncultured bacterium. RNAcentral's name for it is "partial 16S ribosomal RNA". It matches the Rfam family "Bacterial small subunit ribosomal RNA", at positions 793 to 1055 of the family's 1533-position model. The record is from RNAcentral.
GUCCACGCCGUAAACGAUGGAUACUUGGUGUUGGAGGUAUUGACCCCUUCAGUGCCGAAGCUAACGCGUUAAGUAUCCCGCCUGGGAAGUACGGUCGCAAGAUUAAAACUCAAAGAAAUUGACGGGGGCCCGCACAAGCGGUGGAGCAUGUGGUUCAAUUCGAUGCAACGCGAAGAACCUUACCUGGGUUUGACAUGUACUGGAAGACUACCAGAAAUGGUGUCGCCUUCGGGCCGGUACACAGGUGCUGCAUGGCUGUCGU